This 500-nucleotide ribosomal RNA is filed under the name uncultured Sphingobacteriales bacterium. Its description in RNAcentral is "bacterial SSU rRNA". It matches the Rfam family "Bacterial small subunit ribosomal RNA", at positions 903 to 1382 of the family's 1533-position model. The record is from RNAcentral. Lineage: Bacteria; Pseudomonadati; Bacteroidota; Sphingobacteriia; Sphingobacteriales.
CCUUGCCAGCCCGCUCAGAAACUCAAAGGAAUUGACGGGGGCCCGCACAAGCGGUGGAGCAUGUGGUUAAUUCGAUGAUACGCGAGGAACCUUACCUGGGCUCAAAUGUAUGUUGACGUAUUCUGAAAGGGAUACUUCUUCGGACAAUAUACAAGGUGCUGCAUGGUUGUCGUCAGCUCGUGCCGUGAGGUGUCGGGUUAAGUCCCAUAACGAGCGCAACCCCUAUCAUUAGUUGCCAUCAGGUCAAGCUGGGGACUCUAAUGAAACUGCCUACGCAAGUAGUGAGGAAGGUGGGGAUGACGUCAAAUCAGCACGGCCCUUACGUCCAGGGCUACACACGUGCUACAAUGGCCGGUACAAAGGGCAGCUACCUGGUGACAGGAUGCUAAUCUCAAAAGCCGGUCUCAGUUCGGAUCGGAGUCUGCAACCCGACUCCGUGAAGUUGGAUUCGCUAGUAAUCGCGCAUCAGCCAUGGCGCGGUGAAUACGUUCCCGGGCCUU